UACAGAGGGUGCGAGCGUUAAUCGGAAUUACUGGGCGUAAAGCGCGCGUAGGCGGCUUUGCAAGCCGGAUGUGAAAUCCCCGGGCUUAACCUGGGAACUGCAUUCGGGACUGCAUGGCUAGAGUAUGGGAGAGGGAAGUGGAAUUUCAGGUGUAGCGGUGAAAUGCGUAGAUAUCAAGAGGAACACCUGCGGCGAAGGCGGGUUGCUGGGCCGACACUGACGCUGAGGCGCGAAAGCCAGGGGAGCGAACGGG
This 253-nucleotide ribosomal RNA is filed under the name uncultured bacterium. RNAcentral's name for it is "partial 16S ribosomal RNA". It matches the Rfam family "Bacterial small subunit ribosomal RNA", at positions 524 to 776 of the family's 1533-position model. The record is from RNAcentral.